RNAcentral lists this ribosomal RNA (187 nucleotides) under uncultured bacterium. RNAcentral describes it as "partial 16S ribosomal RNA". It matches the Rfam family "Bacterial small subunit ribosomal RNA", at positions 329 to 509 of the family's 1533-position model. The record is from RNAcentral.
AGUCAUGUCCUACGGGAGCAGCAGUGGGGAAUUUUGGACAAUGGGCGCAAGCCUGAUCCAGCUAUUCCGCGUGUGGGAUGACGGCCCUCGGGUUGUAAACCACUUUUAGUAGAGAACGAAAAGGAGCUAUCGAAUAAAUAGCUCUGCUGACGGUACUCUAAGAAUAAGCACCGGCUAACUACGUGCC